RNAcentral lists this ribosomal RNA (442 nucleotides) under uncultured bacterium. RNAcentral describes it as "partial 16S ribosomal RNA". It matches the Rfam family "Bacterial small subunit ribosomal RNA", at positions 338 to 795 of the family's 1533-position model. The record is from RNAcentral.
CCUACGGGUGGCAGCAGUGGGGAAUAUUGGGCAAUGGGCGCAAGCCUGACCCAGCAACGCCGCGUGAAGGAAGAAGGCUUUCGGGUUGUAAACUUCUUUUAAGAGGGAAGAGCCGAAGACGGUACCUCUUGAAUAAGCCACGGCUAACUACGUGCCAGCAGCCGAGGUAAUACGUAGGUGGCAAGCGUUGUCCGGAUUUACUGGGUGUAAAGGGCGUGUAGCCGGGCUGACAAGUCAGAUGUGAAAUUCCGGGGCGCAACCCCGCACCUGAGUUUGAAACUGUUGGUCUUGAGUGUCGGAGAGGCAGCCGGAAUUCCUAGUGUAGCGGUGAAAUGCGUAGAUAUUAGGAGGAACACCAGUGGCGAAGGCGGCCUGCUGGACGACAACUGACGGUGAGGCGCGAAAGCGUGGGGAGCAAACAGGAUUAGAUACCCGAGUAGUC